CCUUCCAUUUCCCUGGGAAAUAAAUUGCCACGAAAUUUAAACACCAACCUCUGAUUUCCUCUCCUCCGUGUCGCCGGCCACCCACUGAUCCAUCCACUCGCCCCAAUGGAUCACGCCGCCGAGCACCUCGACCCCACCGCCCCGGCACCCUCGUCCGCCUCCUCCUCUGCUGCCGUCGCGGAGGUAAAUGCGUGGCUGGCCUCCCUCGCCGCGGAUGUGGGAGGGCGAGGCGGUGGCGGAGGUGCGGCGGCGGAGCUGUCGCUGGGUCCCGACCCCACACCGCGCGGGGUGGCCUACCUCCGCGCGCUGGCCUCUGCUUCGCAGGGGCGGUCCCGCGCUGCCGGAAUCGCGGCUGCGGGGCUGCGUGCGCAGGCGGCCGAGUACCGCGCCGAGGCGGCGCGGUUGCGGGAGGCUCUCGAGCGGGCGGGGCUCGCGAGGGACGCACUCCCACCACCUGCAGCCGCGGCGGCACGAGCCGUUGCUGCAGUCGCUAACCUCCUCGCCAUCCGUGACACCGAGAUGAGCAGCUUUGUAGUGGCAAGUGCAGACUUGUCUCUGAGGCGAGCAGAGGUGGAGGAGAAGAGGGACAAAGUGCAUAAGGAGUCCAAGGCACUACUUGACUACACACGGAAGGCCAUAAACAAGCUUACUGAGCUGAAGAAGAUGCUGGAGAAAUUUAAGAAUGAUGUGGAGAAGCAACAAGUGGAGCAAAUGACUGAUUGGCAAACAAAGCUUGUUAUGAUGGACUCCAAGGAACGGCAAUAUAUCCUCCAAGUCUCAAAUUAUAAGGCAAUGCUUAAUCGAGUGGGUUAUACGCCAGAGAUCAAUCAUGGUGUGUUGAUGGAAAUGGCUGAGCAUAAGAAGGAUCUCGAGAGGAAGACUAAACCCAUAGCUGACACAUUAAGGAGCUACCAGGAUUUACCUCCAGAUAAAGCUUUAGCUGCACUAGCUAUAGAGGACAAAAAGAGGCAGUAUGCAGCCGCAGAGAAGUACCUAGAAGAUGUGUUGCAAUCUGCUCUAACCACAAGUGGCCUAUAAUGUGCAUAGUUUUGUUUGCUGUGUCUUAUAUGUUGCCAUCGAUUGAAGGUGAAAUGGAAGCAGAUCGAUGGUAUCCUACAAAUGUGAAGACGAAAUCCUACGAGUGCGAGCUCUACUAUAUGUAUAAAUUGUGAUGCACAUCUUGUUUAAAUGUUCUGAUAACGCUAUUCUACCCCUUGGUGCUAACAGAUGUUCCUUGUCUUGCCUUACCCUGUUUCCUGUAAACUGUAAAUAUAAUAGUGAAGAAAAUGUCUACUUGACUGUAAAAUAUAUUUUCAUUUGCAGUCUUGUUUCCUGUAAAAACGGUUCACAUUCUCUUAAGGGUACCGUAGAAAAUUCCUUAUAUAAUUAAAAGAAUGUUGCCGAAUCA
Zea mays is the source of this 1408-nucleotide RNA transcript. It is a transcript of the gene named AUGMIN subunit 1, with no coding region annotated. Lineage: Eukaryota; Viridiplantae; Streptophyta; Magnoliopsida; Poales; Poaceae. The record is from RefSeq and is marked validated. The transcript has 6 exons.